AUGUGUAUGGAGAAGUGUUGGAAUAAUUCUUUUCGAGAACAUAGUUAUAGGAAUAGUUUUCUUUUGGCAAAGGGAAAAUACUUUUCAUACUCCGUCAAUACUCGGCUACACACUCUGAUACGCCAUCUCCCUCAUUGGGUGAGCGAAAAGCCAUUGAUUGGAGGGAUUAGUUGUGUUGCUAUUGAUCGAGGCCAACAAUGGGGCAGAGUUCCAGAGGUGUUGGUGCUUUACCAAGCAGGCGCGGUGUGGCCACCAACCAGAUCUGGGUGUGUCUGUGUGUGGAGGAGGGAUAGGAUGGGGAUAGUGGAAGCUUGUGAAGGUGCUUUCUACUUUGUAAAUGCUAAUAAUACUUAUUUACUUGGGCAAUGA
RNAcentral lists this ribosomal RNA (369 nucleotides) under Triticum aestivum (bread wheat). RNAcentral describes it as "partial small subunit ribosomal RNA". Lineage: Eukaryota; Viridiplantae; Streptophyta; Magnoliopsida; Poales; Poaceae. The record is from RNAcentral.